Molecule: ribosomal RNA, 451 nt
Filed under: uncultured bacterium
Lineage: Bacteria
Description: partial 16S ribosomal RNA
Rfam family: Bacterial small subunit ribosomal RNA
Source: RNAcentral
GAUGAACGCUGGCGGCGUGCCUAACACAUGCAAGUCGAGCGGCAGCGAGGGGUGCUUGCACCCUGUCGGCGAGCGGCGGACGGCUGAGUAACGCGUGGGAACGUGCCCCAAAGUGAGGAAUAACUGCCCGAAAGGGUAGCUAAUACCGCAUAUUAUCUUCGGAUCAAAGGAUUUACCCGCUUUGGGAGCGGCUCGCGUCGGAUUAGGUAGUUGGUGAGGUAAUGGCUCACCAAGCCGACGAUCCGUAGCUGGUCUGAGAGGAUGACCAGCCAGACUGGAACUGAGACACGGUCCAGACUCCUACGGGAGGCAGCAGUGAGGAAUCUUCCACAAUGGGCGAAAGCCUGAUGGAGCAACGCCGCGUGCAGGACGAAGGCCUUCGGGUUGUAAACUGCUUUUAUAAGUGAGGAAUAUGACGGUAACUUAUGAAUAAGGAUCGGCUAACUACGUG